GUUACUCCUCCUUUCGAGCACCAAGUAGAAGACCCUUUCCGAUACACAUAGUGUUGACGAGUUUUAUAUAGUUGCAGUUCUUCCUCAGUCUCCCCGACAGUAUCACGCAACGUAUAAACCAACGUUCUUAAAUGAGUUUUUGUCUUUCCAAAUUCAAGGGGCGGCUGUUUGUCCUGUUGGUCUCCUUACAGGUGCUAGCCAGUAUGAACACGCUGAAUAGUCACGCGGUCGAUGCUUCCGUUUUUCAAACCCUUUUAAAACGAAGACCGUUUGAUUACAAAGGUGGACAUUUCGGCAGCAAUCCGAAUCGUGGCUUUAUAAAAGGACAUUUGCGUCCCGAAGAAUACCAAUACGGUCCUGACGAAAUACCUUUCAUACUCUACAGUUGAUUUUUAUACCCGUAGUAGGAGGAAAGGAUAAAGUCCUUUUUUUUCAAGCCAUACGAUAUAUCACAAGACACAUAACCAACUGAAUCACACCGCCAUAUCAGUUUCUCUCUACGGAAUUCCUACAAAAUGAACUCUUUAACGGAUUUAAACAGAUAAAAUACUGUAGUUACUAAUAUGCUUAAUAAUUUGUUGUGCAUUCGAUUACAUUCCGCGCUCUGGCUCUUACAUAUAUAUACGUGUACUAUUUAGUGUUUAUAUAGUUGUAAGACACAACGUCAAAGCUUUCACCAGCGAGGCUUUUCGAUUAGAAAGUCAUGUUUUUGUGUGCUGGUUUAUUUCAGCAGGGUUGGAUCACGCAUGAUGGAAAAUCAAGUUGGAUGUCUUGCAGGAACCAAAGGCCUCUUUUAAGGGCUUGCAUUAAUGAAGACUCAUUAAAAAUGGGCGAGUCUCUUUCAAUGCAAAACUCAUCAGAAGAAGACAAACGUCUCUUGUCGUCAUGAUCGACGUUGCCGGGAUGCGUUUGGGAACAAGGAAAAUCCGAUUUUCUCAUGGCUCCACUCGGUCGGCCUUUAAUUGGUCAUGUAACACUUCUCUAACGACAAUGCUACUUAUUGAUUGGUAUGCUGCAAAUAUUGUUUAGACAUAAUGGAAUAACGAGAUAACAUGUUGCCCAAAAAACUAAACAUCCAACGUUGUUUAAUCGUAGAAAGCUGUAAGUUGUUUAGUUCUUACAAGGCGGAAUGGAAUGGUCUGCACAAUUUCAAUGUAUCCAUUUUUCUCGCUACUGCUGAUGGUCGUUCUUCUGAAUAUCUGAAACGUCUGUCAGUCCACGAGCGAUCCGGACAAUAGGCCUACCCAUCAUGGAAUGACGGGCUUACGUCAUCUUACCUAUACGAGUAUGACUUUGUUUUCCUUUACCGAGUUGUUAUAAAAACAUCAGUAGUCUAUAACCACUACUCAGUGAGAAUGCUAACAUGUUAUAGGCUAUCAUCCCCCCAGCAAGAAGAAUGACUCAACUGGAAAGUUUUACCAUGUACGACUAAUUGUAGGCCAAGGAACAAUAUCAAGGUUUACGUCUUAUGUGAAGGACAUGUCAUCAUAUGUAGAAUCUUAAGUCAAAUGAUAAAACGAAGAGGUUGUAUAGAUUCGUCCCUUAUUUUAAUCCUUACAGCUUUCAGUUGCAAGUAUCAUUUUCAUUCAGGAAUUCACAGCCACCUGCUAACCGUGUCAGAAUUUGAUAAUGAACUGGACUACUCGUUAAGUGAUCAGGGCCGUGCUGAUGCAAGAGUUUGUCCGCACUCUUUCUGCUGCCAAUGCCCAUUGAUUGUAGAGCAAACGUACGUCCACAAACGUGACUGGCAUUUGUUAUUGUUGUUUGUAUUGACAAGAUCAUUCGAUUCGAGAUGAUAAUUGGAGACGGAAGCUGCUGACGUAGAAACUGGGAGGCCAAUGUUUUGCGUCAGUAAAGGUGCACGUGACGGGUGCACACAUAAGUACGCAUACGCCUUAUGUACGUAAUUCAGCUUUCACAACAUUCUGGAAAAAUGGCUCGCUCUAAAUUUGAGGGCGUGUAAAUAUCGAAUUGGUACAUCAUUUACGUAGGCCAAUCACGUCUUUGCAUCCAAAUAACUGCACUACAGUAUUUUUCUUUCCGUGGUUCUAGUUAACUAUAGCCUAGAACAACAAUGCUAUUAUGGUUUCACCGAUUGGGUAUGCCGUCCGAGAGUCACGUGACGCUGCAUCUUCGUUGAUCAUUCCAAACACACCUGUUGUUUCAAUUCGAACGCACUGUCCUUUACUAUUUAAACCUCUGUCCAGUCUUCAGGUCAGAUUCACAUAGUAUUUCGAGCUCACGAUACCGCACUGCUGAGAUUCAGCGCUAGCUUUUCCUAUACUGAAUUAUCCGAUGAAGCUCCAUCAUUUGUCCAUCUUCCUGUUAGUCGUGCUGUUGACGCUAGCCUCAUCAUCAGUUGAAGCGGGACGUCGACGCCGUCAACUGGACGCUAGUCCCACUGUUUACAGGGCUCGGUUUAAUCGUCCUUUAGUGACUAGAAAUUCGGUUAGGCAGCCUUCCGCACGUCAGCCUGUGCGCUAUCGCGCUUACAUCCGUGACACUGCGGAUUUAAGCAAUUUGCGCUACCGAAUCCGCAUUCCCAGACGGCCGGACGUGAUUAAUGCAGGAAGACCCAUCCAUAACCCGCGAAGGUACAUGAAAUUUGACUACGAGCAUCCAGACCACUAUCACAUCUAUCACAGCUAAUCGACACGUAUAGACUUGUGAGUUUUAUUGCGUCUCAUCAGUUGGGAGGUAUAUAUAGGUGUAGCUACAUCUCAUAAAAUGGAGAAAUCUUUGGCGUUACUCUUUAUCCCGGAUGCAAUGUGCGUUAGAUUCCUAGCGUCAUUUUUCAUCUUCAGCCCAUAAUUGCAACAUUUUAUGUAUAUAUACACAUUAUUUGAUCCCUAUAUGCCAUAACUUUAAAUAAAUUGUAUUCUUAUCUAAAUGUGUGGCCAAUAAAUGAUCCAAAGCUAA
Molecule: long non-coding RNA, 2919 nt
Organism: Daphnia magna
Lineage: Eukaryota; Metazoa; Arthropoda; Branchiopoda; Diplostraca; Daphniidae
Exons: 7
Source: RefSeq, a predicted model, not a curated record